CCCUUAGACGUCCGGGGCUGCACGCGCGCUACACUGAAGGAAUCAGCGUGCUAAAACCAUUGUCGAAAGGCAUUGGUAAACCCAUUAAAAUCCUACGUGAUUGGGAUCGGGAAUUGCAAUUAUUUCCCUUGAACGAGGAAUUCCCAGUAAGUGUGGGUCAUAAGCUCGCGUUGAUUACGUCCCUGCCCUUUGUACACACCGCCCGUCGCUGCCCGGGACUGAGCCGUUUCGAGAAAAGCGGGGACUGCUGCUGUCGGGGCUUUCGGGCCUUGGCUUCGGUGGAAACCGCUUUAAUCGCAGUGGCUUGAACCGGGCAAAAGUCGUAACA
RNAcentral lists this ribosomal RNA (328 nucleotides) under uncultured eukaryote. Its description in RNAcentral is "partial 18S ribosomal RNA". It matches the Rfam family "Eukaryotic small subunit ribosomal RNA", at positions 1470 to 1796 of the family's 1831-position model. The record is from RNAcentral.